GUCCUUGUGCAUGCAUGGAUCGCCUCCUCAUUCCAUCCGUUCUCACUCUUCUCUCUCUCUCUCCAUUAGGUUGAACAGGAUGAGAUCUCGAUUGCACAUCACCUUCCAUUGAACGUGUAGCAUGCAGUAUUUGAGCUUGCUGGGUUGUGGUGAUCGGUCGCCGGGGGGAUAUGGCUGGCUUCGUCAGAUCGUCAUCCAUUGAUACGUGUUAGGAGUGGCUAGCAUCGUUUCAGAUCUGCAUCAUGUUCUUCUGAACCUCAGAGGUGAGGUGCCAACUGCUAGGCUGCGGGCCGGCGUUCGUCGAUCGUCGCCAUGGGGCCGGAAGUGGCUGUUGCACUUGCGGUGGUGGGAUGGUUCGUCUCGCCGCACAUAACCAAGCUCAUGGAGGUCGCACGAUCCUGCGCUUCCAGCAAGUACAAGCUGCCAAGGGGCAUGAGGAAGAAGCUGCUGAAACUGGCGCAAGAUCUGGGGGACAUCAAGGACUUCCUGGAUCCAGCUACUAUGGGGGGCUCCGUCAGCGACAGGACCUGGGUCAACCGUCUGUGGAGUCUCAAGGAUGCCAUCCAUGACGCGGAGGAGAUCCUGGACUUGUUCGAGUGGCAUAUCCUUGAGGCCGAGGCAGCUAAAAACCUUAAGAAGCGCUCCGGCGGUGGUGGUGGCAGUGCUAGCAGCAGUGGCAGGAAAUCCGCAUAUUCUUGGUGGAUUUUCACCACCAACACCAGUGGUCCGUCACUGAAUCAGCUCAAGGAAGUGCUCAAGAACCUAGGGGAGCUUCGUGAGAGGAUGCGAGAGCUCUGCGAGAAUCCUGCCACUCGGCGUGCUGUACUUUCUCCACUCUGCAGAGCACCCUUGGGCCCGGAGCCAGUAAGGGAGAAGAAGCUCUUCUUCGGGUACGGCGUGGAGUAUGAGCAGCUAGUCUCCAUGCUCGGGGACGGCAACUGCAAGGACAAGAAAGUUAUCUCCCUCAUAGGCCAUGGCGGGAUGGGGAAGACCGAGCUUGCUCGCCAGGCGUACCGCCAUGUCCGAGGCAAGUUUGAUCGGCCCAUAUGGGUGCCUGCCUACGGCAAGAAUGCUCAGUUUGACCUUCUGGCAGAGAUUUGGAAGUCGGCCGUCGGCGAAAAAUCAGUCCAGGAGAUGAACAUUUCUAGCCUUCAGGACAAGCUCAAGGCACAACUGGCAUCCCAGAGGUGCCUGCUUGUGCUGGAUGAUGUAUGGAGCGACGAAAAGGACAUGAACGAGAGCGAGAGAAGGACUGCGCUGCGCUGCUUCACUGAUUUCGUGGGCGUCGGGAGUCGCAUCGUAAUGACGACGCGAUCCAGGAUUUGUUCGACGAAACUGGGCGCAGAAGAAACCAUCUUCCUGAAUGGGAUCAAACCUGAAGAGAUGAUGCUUCUGCUCAACGACACCGCAAAUCCCAGCGCCGAUGGUACCAGCGGCAUCCAGGGGAUGCUCAAAAGCGACGUGCUCAAGCUCAAGGGGUCCCCUUCGGCGGCCAUAGAGAUCGGCGAGAAGUUGAAGGCACGAAACGCAAGCUGCGGGCGCGAGCGACGCGGCGGCAUCCUGGCAAACAUGGAAUGCCACAUCGCCGGCGUGUUAGUAAGCCAUCUCGCCAGCUAUGACCAUCUGCCACCGCACCUCCAGCGUUGCUUCGCGUUCUGCAGCAUAUUCCCAAACGGUUGGAGGUUUGAGCCUGAGAAGCUGACCAAGAUGUGGAUGGCUCUUGGUUUCGUCGAGGAGAAGGCCCAUCAUCCUCAGGUUGGAAAUGGGAUGAGCAGCAUGGAAGACGUUGCCAGAGGCUAUUUCCAAGAGCUGGUGGACCGCUCCUUGUUUGAGUUAGAACAGAGCAAGGGUGGAGGAGACAAACAUAAUCGGUACGUGAUUCACGAGCACAUUCAUCGGAUGGAUACGUGAUGCCUCUUCCAAGAAUUGCAUAAGCAUCUCUCGUGCGAGCACCGGAGACAAGACUAGCAUCCCUCCAAGGGUUCGCCACUUGUCAGUUACCAGCGGCUGCCUUGAUCAGCUGAAUGAGUACUCCAUAGGACUCGGCAAUCUGCGGACCUUGAUAGUCCUAAAGGAUGAUGGUGUCGUUGCCAUUGACAAAGAUAUACUCCAACAAUUCAAGGGUGUGAGAGUACUGGAUCUGACAGAGACAGGCAUAACUCAACUUCCAGCGAGUAUUGGCAAGCUGAAACAUGUGAGGUACCUAGGCCUUCCUAGCACCGUCAGCAGUGAUCUCGGUGAUCAAGUCACCAAGCUAUUGUUUCUUCAGACACUGAGUGUGGGCCAGGAGGAGGACAAAGGGGAAAAGAGAGAGUGCAUCACCAACAUAAGUGGCAUAGGAAGGCUGGUUAAACUUCGAGAGUCGAUCGAGUUCCAGGUGAUGAGGGCAUCGGAGAAGGAAGGGCACAGCCUGUGGGAGCUGGCCGGGAUGAAGUCUCUUGGGAAGACGCUGAGCAUAAAGGGCCUGGACGCCGUCGCGAGCAAAGAGGAAGCCAAGCAGGCUCGGCUUGACAACAAGUGUUCCGUCAAGGUCCUGAAGCUUCAAUGGGGAGCCCCGGAUGCGCGCCACGGAGAACCUGUCGCCCGAAGCUCUGCUGCUGCUGACCCCGCGCCCGCGGUGGCCGUCCUCCAAGGUCUCCAGCCCCACCACUACCUCCAUGAACUUCGUAUCGAGAGGUAUUCCGGGGAGACGUCGCCUACCUGGCUCAGCGGACUGGAGAAGCUGACGCGCCUGUACCUCAAGAACUGCAGGAAGCUCAAGGCCCUUCCGGCCCUGGGCCAGCUCCCGUGCCUUGAGCUUCUCGAAAUCAAGGAGCUUUGUGUUGUUGCGAGGAUCGACGGCGGCUUCUGCGGUGGCGGCGCGUUCCCCAAGCUUAAGAAGAUCGUGCUGGACGACAUGAAGGAACUGGUGGCGUGGAAUGACAAUGACAUGCCGAAAGUUGCGUUCCCUCUGCUCAGGGACGUGAGCAUCGCCGACUGCCCGCUGCUGUCGUCCUUGUCGGCCCUCGGGCGCUGCACAGGUCCCAUUGAUCUGCGCGUCAAGGGUGAGUGCCCUCACAUUACACCAGACACCCUGCCCGCAGCUUUCAGGAACGGUGUCUCAACCUGCAAAUUCCACUAGAGCUGUGCGUCCCUCCCUACGUGCACGCUUCGUGGUGCAGUUUCUCUUUGUCAGUUUUCGUCACUGGGCCUGUAAUAAUA
This 3201-nucleotide ribosomal RNA is filed under the name Triticum aestivum (bread wheat). RNAcentral describes it as "partial small subunit ribosomal RNA". The record is from RNAcentral. Lineage: Eukaryota; Viridiplantae; Streptophyta; Magnoliopsida; Poales; Poaceae.